RNAcentral lists this ribosomal RNA (284 nucleotides) under Microbacterium sp. Its description in RNAcentral is "partial 16S ribosomal RNA". It matches the Rfam family "Bacterial small subunit ribosomal RNA", at positions 503 to 785 of the family's 1533-position model. The record is from RNAcentral. Lineage: Bacteria; Bacillati; Actinomycetota; Actinomycetes; Micrococcales; Microbacteriaceae.
ACGUGCCAGCAGCCGCGCUAAUACGUAGGGCGCAAGCGUUAUCCGGAAUUAUUGGGCGUAAAGAGCUCGUAGGCGGUUUGUCGCGUCUGCUGUGAAAUCCGGAGGCUCAACCUCCGGCCUGCAGUGCGUACGGGCAGACUAGAGUGCGCUAGGGGAGAUUGGAAUUCCUGGUGUAGCGCUGGAAUGCGCAGAUAUCAGGAGGAACACCGAUGGCGAAGGCAGAUCUCUGGGCCGUAACUGACGCUGAGGAGCGAAAGGGUGGGGAGCAAACAGGAUUAGCAUAC